The sequence is a regulatory RNA element, 49 nucleotides long. It matches the Rfam family "SAM/SAH riboswitch aptamer". The record is from Rfam.
CUGUUGUCACAACGGCUUCCUGAAGUGACAUCGCAUAUCUAUUGGAGCA